RNAcentral lists this ribosomal RNA (1049 nucleotides) under Aberoptus platessoides. RNAcentral describes it as "eukaryotic LSU rRNA". It matches the Rfam family "Eukaryotic large subunit ribosomal RNA", at positions 56 to 633 of the family's 3401-position model. Lineage: Eukaryota; Metazoa; Arthropoda; Arachnida; Trombidiformes; Eriophyidae. The record is from RNAcentral.
GAAAAGAAAGCAAAAGCGAUUCCCCAAGUAACGGCGAGUGAACAGGGAUAAGCCUAGCGCUAAGGCUCAAUAGGAUGGUCAGUAGCAAUACUGAUUGUCUUUAACCGAAGAGGCUAUUGAGCGGUGCAGCGUUACAAACCGUGAUGUUUAGUGGUGCCAUUGGUAGUAAUCGGGCAACCGAUUGCUACUCCUAGCCUAGCAUGCAAGUUCCAUUGACUUGGACUAAUUGCAAAUGACUACAAGCUUGGGGUAACUUGGGCAUGUGGUUGAGCCAGAGCGGGUGUAAGCCCCAUACCGUGCAGGCAUUGGUAACACGAAUCGCGGACAUAGAUCCCUAAGUGGACCUAUGAAUUUGUUAGAGUCGAGUUGCUUGAGAGUGCAACUUAAAGUGCGAGGUAAACUACUCGUAAGGCUACUUUGAAAUAAGGCUACGACACCGAUAGCAAACAAGUACCGUGAGGGAAAGUUGAAAUAGAACUUUGCAGAGAGAGUUAACAGGGCGUGAAACCGUUAAUUGGCAAACGAAUCGGAGCCACGAAGUCGUUUCGCUGUUAGUUGGGGCCAAGUUCAGCUUAUGAUCCCGUCAAAAGGAUCAUCGGUGUAUUCUUGUGCCUAACCAAACAUUGUAAGCGUACACUGCAACCAGUUAGACGAUUGGCUAUGGGCCCAGUUGCUUGAUUUACGGGUUAAACCGUAGUUCAGGUAACGAAGUAUUUGUUUGCUCAAGUUAGUAGUAGCGAGGUGUGUUUCCUUCGGGUUAUUGCAUUCUUGUUGCUAAACUUGUUGCAAGUGAGCUAUGGCCAAAUACUGACUGGAACAAUGAAAACUACCCCUUGCGGGUAUCGAAUAAAACGCAGUUUGUUAUAUUGGUGCCUACAUUGCUAAACUGCUAGGUCUAAGCUCGGCACUUUUGAAUUCAGACUUGCUUGCUGUCAGUGGGGUAACUCCUGGCGCUUGUAUAGUUUCUGUCUAAUCGGGUGUUGACUUGGCCAAGUACUCGCUUUAGCAUGCUACGAUGGGGUAUUAAUAUAAACAAAUUCGCUAGAAUG